Long non-coding RNA from Amblyraja radiata (thorny skate), 93 nucleotides. RefSeq lists it as uncharacterized. The record is from RefSeq and is a predicted model, not a curated record. The transcript has 3 exons. Lineage: Eukaryota; Metazoa; Chordata; Chondrichthyes; Rajiformes; Rajidae.
UGGAAGAGAGUGGCGCAUGGCUUUGAUAAACGGUGGAAUUUUAAACAUACAUGUGGGGCGGUGGAUGGCAAACAUGGCAUUCUUGUCCCUCAC